Mustela lutreola (European mink) is the source of this 534-nucleotide long non-coding RNA. RefSeq lists it as uncharacterized. The record is from RefSeq and is a predicted model, not a curated record. The transcript is spliced from 3 exons. NCBI's taxonomy places the organism in Eukaryota, Metazoa, Chordata, Mammalia, Carnivora, Mustelidae.
UGGAUGUCCCAGGGCACUGGCAACCUGAGAACCCGAGUAACCGUAAACAGCCGGAAAGACAGGAACUUCCAGUACUCACACCUGGAUUUGCAAAGGCAGAGUUCCUGCUUUAGCCAGCUGGCUGCUAAUCAGGAGUCCUACUCUGGCUUAUGCACAGAAGGGAAGUGUGGAUGGAGCGUGGAAAGCCACAGAGGUUGGCAUGGGAAGGCAUUCUCCAGGAGGAAAGAUGGACUCAUGCAGGUGUUUGACUGAAUUUUUCUAACCUGCAUGGUCUCUGAUCAUGUCAGUUACCUUCAGGUAUGGGCACGCCUCUGCUCGGAUCUCCAGCCUCAUCAUUCCGCCUUCCAGGUCAUGAUCCUGGAAUCCUGCAUGGAGUCCCGCAUCGCAGCAUCCUGAGGGCUCCUGGUUCACAGGGAGUCGGCUUCUCCCUCUGCAUCUGCCCCUCCCCCUCCACUCCCCACCUGCCCAACUUGUGUUCUCUCUCUCUCUGUCUCUUUCUCAAAUAAAUAAAUUCUUUCUUUUUUGCUUUUUUAA